RNAcentral lists this long non-coding RNA (434 nucleotides) under Lathyrus oleraceus (garden pea). Its description in RNAcentral is "Pisum sativum (pea) long non-coding RNA (PSAT_LNC030028)". The record is from RNAcentral. Lineage: Eukaryota; Viridiplantae; Streptophyta; Magnoliopsida; Fabales; Fabaceae.
AAAGUUUGACAAAAAAAUUCUGCAUUUUUAAAAGUCAGAAACUAUUUUAAAUCAAUUAAAAAUGCAUAAAAAUAACCUAAUUGAACUAAAAUCUCAAAUAAAUCUCAAAUCAAUUAAUAAAUUGAUGAGAAUAUUUUUCAUAGAUCCAUCAUCAUUCAAAGAGGUUGAGAAAAUAUUUUUGUAUUUUUUGAAUAUCAAAAACUAUUUAAAAUGAAUUAAAAAUAACCAGAAAAGAGAAAAUUAUUAAAAAAUAAAAAAUUAUAAAAUAAAAAAUAUUAAAAAUCAUUUUUAGAAAGUAGAAAAUAAAAGAGAAAUAACACAAUUGGUCCCAUAAUUUUUGGACCAAUAAUGAGAGAGAUAUGAAUUUUAAAAAAUGAAAUGGAAUUAAAAAAAUAGAAUGGAAAUUAAAAUCAGAAUUAAAAAAUAAGGAAAAA